Molecule: ribosomal RNA, 253 nt
Filed under: uncultured bacterium
Lineage: Bacteria
Description: partial 16S ribosomal RNA
Rfam family: Bacterial small subunit ribosomal RNA
Source: RNAcentral
AACGUAGGUUCCGAGCGUUAUCCGGAUUUACUGGGCGUAAAGCGCGUUCAGGCGGUUUGGCAAGUCGGGCAUGAAAUCUCUCGGCUCAACCGGGAGAGGUUGUCCGAUACUGCUGGACUUGAGGGCAGUAGAGGGUGGUGGAAUUCCGGGUGUAGCGGUGAAAUGCGUAGAUAUCUGCAGGAACACCCGUGGCGAAAGCGGCGCGCUGGACCACUACUGACGCUGAGGAACGAAAGCUAGGGGAGCAAACAGG